RNAcentral lists this ribosomal RNA (696 nucleotides) under uncultured bacterium. RNAcentral describes it as "bacterial SSU rRNA". It matches the Rfam family "Bacterial small subunit ribosomal RNA", at positions 32 to 715 of the family's 1533-position model. The record is from RNAcentral.
AACGCUAGCUACAGGCUUAACACAUGCAAGUCGAGGGGAAACGACAUCGAAAGCUUGCUUUUGAUGGGCGUCGACCGGCGCACGGGUGAGUAACGCGUAUCCAACCUGCCCAUCACUUGGGGAUAACCUUGCGAAAGUAAGACUAAUACCCAAUGAUAUCUCUAGAAGACAUCUGAAAGAGAUUAAAGAUUUAUCGGUGAUGGAUGGGGAUGCGUCUGAUUAGCUUGUUGGCGGGGUAACGGCCCACCAAGGCAACGAUCAGUAGGGGUUCUGAGAGGAAGGUCCCCCACAUUGGAACUGAGACACGGUCCAAACUCCUACGGGAGGCAGCAGUGAGGAAUGUUGGUCAAUGGGCGAGAGCCUGAACCAGCCAAGUAGCGUGCAGGAUGACGGCCCUAUGGGUUGUAAACUGCUUUUAUAAGGGAAUAAAGUGAGUCUCGUGAGACUUUUUGCAUGUACCUUAUGAAUAAGGACCGGCUAAUUCCGUGCCAGCAGCCGCGGUAAUACGGAAGGUCCGGGCGUUAUCCGGAUUUAUUGGGUUUAAAGGGAGCGUAGGCCGGAGAUUAAGCGUGUUGUGAAAUGUAGACGCUCAACGUCUGCACUGCAGCGCGAACUGGUUUCCUUGAGUACGCACAAAGUGGGCGGAAUUCGUGGUGUAGCGGUGAAAUGCUUAGAUAUCACGAAGAACUCCGAUUG